UACGGAGGGUGCAAGCGUUGUUCGGAAUUACUGGGCGUAAAGCGCGUGUAGGCGGUCGAGCAAGUCAGAUGUGAAAGCCUUCCGCUUAACGGAAGAAGUGCAUUUGAAACUACUCGGCUGGAGUACGGGAGAGGAGAGUGGAAUUCCCGGUGUAGAGGUGAAAUUCGUAGAUAUCGGGAGGAACACCAGUGGCGAAAGCGGCUCUCGGGUCCGAUAAUGACCCUGAUACGCGAAAGCGUGGGGAGCAAACAGG
RNAcentral lists this ribosomal RNA (253 nucleotides) under uncultured bacterium. Its description in RNAcentral is "partial 16S ribosomal RNA". It matches the Rfam family "Bacterial small subunit ribosomal RNA", at positions 524 to 776 of the family's 1533-position model. The record is from RNAcentral.